CGAGCACGCGCGUGUGGCAUAUCAAUAAGCGGAGGAAAAGAAACUAACAAGGAUUCCCUUAGUAACGGCGAGUGAAGCGGGAAGAGCUCAAAUUUGAAAUCUUCAAGGUUCUACCUUGACGAAUUGCAGUUUAUAGAAGUGUUUUCUGUUAGUGGAGUGGCAGAAGUUCUUUGGAAUAGGACAUCAUAGAGGGUGAGAAUCCCGUAUUUGGUCAUUCCUCCUAGCGUUGUGAUACACUUUCAACGAGUCAGAUUGUUUGGGAAUGCAGUCCAAAAUGGGUGGUAAAUUUCAUCUAAAGCUAAAUAUUGGCGAGAGACCGAUAGCGAACAAGUACCGUGAGGGAAAGAUGAAAAGAACUUUGAAAAGAGAGUUAAACAGUACGUGAAAUUGUCAAAAGGGAAGCGUUUGACACCAGUGUUGUUUUUCCGAAAAUCAAUUACGAAUGUUUUAUUUUUGAGGAGUUAUGACUUCAUCGGCUUGCUUCUUUCUUUACGAAACUUUCUUAAUGCACUUUUCGGUUAACAAGUCAACAUCAAUUUCUUUUGUUGUAAAAGGGUAUGAGGAAGGUGGCUUUCUUUUCGGAGAAAGUGUUUAUAGCCUUGUGCCUCUGCAAUCGGAGAGAUUGAGGUCUGCAGCGUAGAUCCUUCGGGGUUAGAUACGUUUGUGCUAAGUUAUAGCUUUUCAUAGACAACUUGUUGACUAUGUUUAGUCUUGUAGCUUACUCGCUUAUGCUAUUUUACCUACGCUUAGGAUGUUGAGCGCAUGUCUCUCUCU
Molecule: ribosomal RNA, 774 nt
Filed under: uncultured Neocallimastigales
Lineage: Eukaryota; Fungi; Neocallimastigomycota; Neocallimastigomycetes; Neocallimastigales
Description: partial large subunit ribosomal RNA
Rfam family: Eukaryotic large subunit ribosomal RNA
Source: RNAcentral